AUCACCUAUGAAAUUAUACUAAAACAAUUAUUCACCUCAGGCUCGGUGAUUAUCGUGAAUAAAAACCUCGACUUCGUCUCGGUUUUUAUUCACCGAUAAUCACCUCGCCUUCGGCGAAUAAUUGUUAAUUAAUACCAGUCCAAUUGUUUUCAAAGAAACUACGGUGAUAUAUUUACAAUAAGGAAAGUGCGUAAAGAUAUAAUAGACUAUAACAACAAUUUGGCUUUUCGCUUUGUGCUAAGAAUUCCACUUAUUUAAAUUUGACAGAAGAAAAUACAUUUUCAUUGUAGAUUUAAAUAUUGGAAGAGAUCUAAUUUGCUUAUAUUGCGUCGGAAGACUAUUCCACAGAUCGAUGCCGUUAAGCGUUAUUACAGAGCGUGUGUUUUUUAUAAUUUAUUCUAGUACAACUUUUGUGUAGCAAUGAUGCGUUUCUUGUGUUUUAAUUAUCGAUUUCUUUG
Paramuricea clavata is the source of this 458-nucleotide non-coding RNA. Lineage: Eukaryota; Metazoa; Cnidaria; Anthozoa; Malacalcyonacea; Plexauridae. The record is from the annotation of a GenBank genome assembly.